CGGCGACCGUGCUUCCAGUCCUAGUCUCUCCAAGAGCCGACUGCCAGUACCACUGCCACCGAGACUCUCUCAACCAGCGAAGUAAGGGUAACGCCCUCGCAACCCAGUGAAGCUAAAGUCACGCUUUAGCAAAACCCGUGCUUUCUCCCAAACUUCCCAGUGAUUGCUCUGCUCAGCCUACAACGUUGAGUAUCGAUUCGGUGACGCGAAGAGAUCACACCUAAAGUCCUUAUCCGUAAGGCAAGAAGUCCUUUCUCAGAAGGCUAGAGAAGAACCUUGUGGCGAGGUUGGUGCUCUCCUCGUCCACAACGCUUGAAGAAGAAGUCAGGUCAAGGGACUCCCCCGACGACUGCAUCCUACGGUGCUGGCACGCCUGCGCACACGCUCAAAAGAGACAGUUUGCAUGCCAACUGGUUUUGGAGCCAAACAACUUCAAAGAAGGAGGAAUUAAUAUUCUUCUUUGGAUAGCUUGGUUGAGGACAUCAAAAUACUACUUCGGACCUCCAC
This 507-nucleotide long non-coding RNA is filed under the name Rosa chinensis. Its description in RNAcentral is "sRNA RchiOBHm_Chr7g0242061". The record is from RNAcentral. Lineage: Eukaryota; Viridiplantae; Streptophyta; Magnoliopsida; Rosales; Rosaceae.